GGUUGUGAUUCAAAAUUCUUUUUUUUUAAGAGAUCACCCUCCGAUUUGUGAUGGAGCUCGUUUAGCAGAGUCAUUGGUUUUUUUAUGCAAUUUUUGAUGUACUGUCGCCUUUCUUUAACACUAUAAUAUGCUUCAUUCAAAGUUUAUGUUCAUGUCCCAUUACUAAAUUGCUAGGAAUAACAUUUAUAUAUAUGCGGUGUCAUGUGUUCUUCUGUUUGUCUGUCUGUUUGGUUUUUUUCAUUUUUUACCAGGCGUUGUCAGUUUAUUUUCGAUUUAUGCGUAUGACUGUCCCUCUGGUAUCUUUCGUCUCUCUUUUAUAAACUUUGCUUGAUUAUUAUAUAUGAUUUGAAUUAAGUACAUUUAACCUUGAUUAUAAAUCUGUUCUUGAUUUUUUCUCUUCUUUAUGUCGUAGACUUGUUGUCUUCUUGAUGUAUAUCAAAGUUUCAUAUAUAACAGUAACAGUUACUUUUCG
Molecule: long non-coding RNA, 472 nt
Filed under: Mytilus galloprovincialis (Mediterranean mussel)
Lineage: Eukaryota; Metazoa; Mollusca; Bivalvia; Mytilida; Mytilidae
Source: RNAcentral